UACGUAGGGAGCAAGCGUUGUUCGGAUUUACUGGGCGUAAAGCGCGUGUAGGCGGCUAUGUAAGUCGGGCGUGAAAUCCCACGGCUCAACCGUGGAAGUGCACCCGAAACUGCGUAGCUAGAGUCCUGGAGAGGAAGGUGGAAUGCUUGGUGUAGAGGUGAAAUUCGUAGAUAUCAAGCGGAACACCGGUGGCGAAGGCGGCCUUCUGGACAGUGACUGACGCUGAGACGCGAAAGCGUGGGGAGCAAACAGG
This 253-nucleotide ribosomal RNA is filed under the name uncultured bacterium. RNAcentral's name for it is "partial 16S ribosomal RNA". It matches the Rfam family "Bacterial small subunit ribosomal RNA", at positions 524 to 776 of the family's 1533-position model. The record is from RNAcentral.